AUCCCUCCACUUCUACCAAACAAUGGUUCAGUCGCAGAUAAGGUAAUGCAAGGGUUUCAUAAGCCCUAUGAAUGUG
RNAcentral lists this transfer RNA (76 nucleotides) under Citrobacter phage Mijalis. RNAcentral describes it as "tRNA-Lys". The record is from RNAcentral. Lineage: Duplodnaviria; Heunggongvirae; Uroviricota; Caudoviricetes; Andersonviridae.